GAAUUGACGGGGCCCGCACAAGCGGUGAGCAUGUGGUUUAAUUCGACGCAACGCGAAGAACCUUACCAGGGCUUGACAUCCCCUGACCGUCUAUGAAAGUAGGCUUUCUACCUUCGGGUAGACAGGGAGACAGGUGGUGCAUGGUUGUCGUCAGCUCGUGUCGUGAGAUGUUGGGUUAAGUCCCGCAACGAGCGCAACCCUUACGGUUAGUUGCCAGCGGGUUAUGCCGGGCACUCUAGCUGAACUGCCGUUGACAAAACGGAGGAAGGUGGGGAUGACGUCAAAUCAUCAUGCCCUUUAUGUCCUGGGCUACACACGUGCUACAAUGGCCUGUACAGAGGGAAGCGAAAGGGUGACCUGGAGCGAAUCCCAAAAAGCAGGUCUCAGUUCGGAUUGCAGGCUGCAACCCGCCUGCAUGAAGUCGGAAUCGCUAGUAAUCGCAGGUCAGCAUACUGUGGUGAAUACGUUCCCGGGCCUU
This 478-nucleotide ribosomal RNA is filed under the name uncultured Desulfotomaculum sp. RNAcentral describes it as "bacterial SSU rRNA". It matches the Rfam family "Bacterial small subunit ribosomal RNA", at positions 907 to 1382 of the family's 1533-position model. The record is from RNAcentral. Lineage: Bacteria; Bacillati; Bacillota; Clostridia; Eubacteriales; Desulfotomaculaceae.